CAAAAACCAAUAGGCCCCAGUGAAAUAUCAUGGAGACAGAUCAAAGGAGAGUUUAGUGAGUUUUGCAAUGCAGCAUGUUAGAAGUACAGUGACAGAACUUUGGACAGGAAAUUUUGUUAACUCCAUACAAACUGCUUUUGCUGCUGGUAUUGGCUGGCUGAUCACUUUUUGUUCAAAAGGAGGAGAUUGUUUGACUUCACAGACACGACUCAGGCUUAGUGGCAUGUUGGUAAGCAUCAAUCAUUUUGUAAAAGUAUAUCACCAUGUAAAGAAACACGUUUAGAAAUUGAUUUGAAACAUUUUCUUCCCUUAUUUCUUGAACAUUUAACUCACCUAUUUGUAAUCUUAUUUUCUGAUGACUGUAUUCAUAGCUAUGUGUUUUUUCCUGAAUAAUUAGCUACGUUCAAUAAAUUUUGACAUGGUA
This 424-nucleotide small RNA is filed under the name Pongo abelii (Sumatran orangutan). Its description in RNAcentral is "retained intron". The record is from RNAcentral. Lineage: Eukaryota; Metazoa; Chordata; Mammalia; Primates; Hominidae.